GCCCAGAGCCAGCCGAGGGCGCGGGGAUAAAACCGCCCCGCCAGCGAGCGCCCUUUAUACUGGCGUGCGGAGCGGCGGCAGCAGCGAGCGGCGGGAGUGAGCAUCACCGCACGGCGACACCGAGACACCUGCCAACAUGUCCGACAAACCAGACAUGGCUGAGAUCGAGAAAUUUGACAAGUCCAAAUUGAAGAAGACAGAGACGCAAGAGAAAAAUCCGCUGCCUUCAAAAGAAACAAUUGAACAGGAGAAGCAAGCGGGUGAAUCGUAAUGAAAUCUGCCCUUCCAAAUUAUGCACUGUACAUUCCACAAGCAUUGCCUUCUUAUUUUACUUCUUUUAGCUGUUUAACUUUGUAAGAUGCAAAGAGGUUGGAUAAAGUUUAAAAUGACUGUACUGCCCCUUUCACAUCAAAAGAAUAGAGAGAACUACUGACACUGAAUGAAGGCGCUGCCUUUCCCUCUGCCUGUCUGGCUUUGGUCCUGGUGGCAUGAAAGAGCUUGCAUGUUGAUGAAAGAAGAACUUGGGUGGGACUACAGUAAACUAGAGUAACACACGAAUAAAUGCAAAGCUGUACCAAGGUCCUGCGAGCUGUAAAAUGCAGUUAAUCGAGUGCCAUUUUUUUUUUUUUUGUUCAAAUGAUUUUAAUUAUUGGAAUGCACAAUUUUUUUAAUAUGCAAAUAAAAUGUUUUAAAACCUG
This is an RNA transcript of Camarhynchus parvulus, 698 nucleotides long. It is a transcript of the gene named thymosin beta 4 X-linked, with no coding region annotated. The transcript has 4 exons. The record is from RefSeq and is a predicted model, not a curated record. NCBI's taxonomy places the organism in Eukaryota, Metazoa, Chordata, Aves, Passeriformes, Thraupidae.